RNAcentral lists this ribosomal RNA (468 nucleotides) under uncultured bacterium. RNAcentral's name for it is "partial 16S ribosomal RNA". It matches the Rfam family "Bacterial small subunit ribosomal RNA", at positions 28 to 507 of the family's 1533-position model. The record is from RNAcentral.
GACGAACGCUGGCGGCGUGCUUAACACAUGCAAGUCGAACGGAAAGGCCCUGCUUUUGUGGGGUGCUCGAGUGGCGAACGGGUGAGUAACACGUGAGUAACCUGCCCUUGACUUGGGGAUAACUUCAGGAAACUGGGGCUAAUACCGGAUAGGAGCUCCUGCUGCAUGGUGGGGGUUGGAAAGUUUCGGCGGUUGGGGAUGGACUCGCGGCUUAUCCGCUUGUUGGUGGGGUAGUGGCUUACCAAGGCUUUGACGGGUAGCCGGCCUGAGAGGGUGACCGGCCACCUUGGGCCUGAGAUACGGCCCAGACUCCUAUGGGAGGCAGCAGUGGGGAAUCUUGCACAAUGGGCGGACGCCUGAUGAAGAAACGCCGCGUGCGGGAUGACGGCCUUCGGGUUGUAAACCGCUUUGGCCUGUGACGAAGCGUGAGUGACGGUAAUGGGUAAAGAAGCACCGGCUAACUACGUG